Molecule: ribosomal RNA, 468 nt
Filed under: uncultured bacterium
Lineage: Bacteria
Description: partial 16S ribosomal RNA
Rfam family: Bacterial small subunit ribosomal RNA
Source: RNAcentral
GACGAACGCUGGCGGCGUGCUUAACACAUGCAAGUCGAACGGAAAGGCCCUGCUUUUGUGGGGUGCUCGAGUGGCGAACGGGUGAGUAACACGUGAGUAACCUGCCCUUGACUUUGGGAUAACUUCAGGAAACUGGGGCUACUACCGGAUAGGAGCUCCUGCUGCAUGGGGGGGGUUGGAAAGUUUCGGCGGUUGGGGAUGGACUCGCGGCUUAUGAGCUUGUUGGUGGGGGAGUGGCUUACCAAGUCUGUGACGGGUAGCCGGCCUGAGAGGGUGACCGGCCACCUUGGGACUGCGAGACGGCCCAGACGCCUACGUGAGGCAGCAGUGGGGAACAUUGCACAAUGGGCGCAAGCCGGAUGCAGCAACGCCGCGGGCGUGAUGACGGCCUUCUGGUUGUAAACCGCUUUCGCCUGUGACGAAGCGUGAGUGACGGUAAUGGGUAAAGAAGCACCGGCUAACUACGUG